Molecule: ribosomal RNA, 460 nt
Filed under: uncultured bacterium
Lineage: Bacteria
Description: partial 16S ribosomal RNA
Rfam family: Bacterial small subunit ribosomal RNA
Source: RNAcentral
CCUACGGGAGGCAGCAGUGAGGAAUAUUGGUCAAUGGACGAGAGUCUGAACCAGCCAAGUAGCGUGAAGGAUGACUGCCCUAUGGGUUUUAAACUUCUUUUAUAUGGGAAUAAAAUGUUCCACGUGUGGGAUUUUGUAUGUACCAUAUGAAUCCGGAUCGGCUAACUCCGUGCCAGCAGCCGCGGUAAUACGGAGGAUCCGAGCGUUAUCCGGAUUUAUUGGGUUUAAAGGGAACGUAGGUGGAUUGUUAAGUCAGUUGUGAAAGUUUGCGGCUCAACCGUAAAAGUGCAGUUGAAACUGGCAGUCUUGAGUACAGUAGAGGUGGGCGGAAUUCGUGGUGUAGCGGUGAAAUGCUUAGAUAUCACGAAGAACUCCGAUUGCGAAGGCAGCUCACUGGACUGCAACUGACACUGAGGCUCGAAAGUGUGGGUAUCAAACAGGAUUAGAUACCCCAGUAGUC